UGGAUNUUAAGAAUUUCGGUAUGGAUGGGGAUGCGUUCCAUUAGUUAGUUGCGGGGUAACGGCCCACCAAGACAACGAUGGAUAGGGGUUCUGAGAGGAAGGUCCCCCACAUUGGAACUGAGACACGGUCCAAACUCCUACGGAAGGCAGCAG
RNAcentral lists this ribosomal RNA (153 nucleotides) under uncultured bacterium. RNAcentral describes it as "partial 16S ribosomal RNA". It matches the Rfam family "Bacterial small subunit ribosomal RNA", at positions 196 to 354 of the family's 1533-position model. The record is from RNAcentral.